Molecule: ribosomal RNA, 460 nt
Filed under: uncultured bacterium
Lineage: Bacteria
Description: partial 16S ribosomal RNA
Rfam family: Bacterial small subunit ribosomal RNA
Source: RNAcentral
CCUACGGGAGUCAGCAGUGAGGACUCUUGGUCAAUGGGCGAGAGCCUGAACCAGCACAGUCGCGUGCAGGAUGACGGCCCUACGGGUUGUAAACUUCUUUUGUCAGGGAGCAAUUGAGUCCACGUGUGGUCUUAGCGAGAGUACCUGAAGAAAACGCAUCGGCUAACUCCGUGCCAGCAGACGCGGUAAUUCUGAGGAUGCGAGCGUUCUCCGGAUUUAUUGGGUUUAAAGGGUGCGUAGGCGGAAUAUCAAGUCAGCGGUAAAAAUUCGGGGCUCAAACCCGUCGUGCCGUUGAAACUGAUGUUCUUGAGUGGGCGAGAAGGAUGCGGAAUGCGUGGGGUAGCGGUGAAAUGCAUAGAUAUCACGAAGAACUCCGAUUGGGAAGGCAGCAUUCCGGCGCCCAACGGACGCUGAAGCUUGAAAGCGUGGGUAUAGAACAGGAUUAGAUACCCCAGUAGGG